Molecule: ribosomal RNA, 498 nt
Filed under: Heleobia sp. UCH Carrera Pinto2
Lineage: Eukaryota; Metazoa; Mollusca; Gastropoda; Littorinimorpha; Cochliopidae
Description: partial 16S large subunit ribosomal RNA
Rfam family: Bacterial large subunit ribosomal RNA
Source: RNAcentral
GGCUUCUUGUUACUUUAAUAUAAGAAGUCUGACCUGCCCAGUGAAAUUUUUAACGGCCGCGGUACUCUGACCGUGCAAAGGUAGCAUAAUCACUUGCCUUAUAAUUGAAGGCUUGUAUGAAUGGUUUGACAAGAAUAAAGCUGUCUCUUUUUAAAUACAUAGAAUUUGAUUUUUAGGUGAAGAAGCCUAAAUUAAAUUGAAAGACAAGAAGACCCUAUCGAGCUUGAAAACUUUUUAUUAUAUAAUGAUUAAAUCAAGUUUUAAUAAAAAUUUUUAGUUGGGGCGACUAAGGAACAAAAAAGCUUCCUUUAGAAUUAUUUACUAAUAAGUUUUGAUCCAAAAUAUUUGAUUAAAAAAAUUAGUUACCGUAGGGAUAACAGCAUAAUUUUUCUUGAGAGCUCAUAUCGAAAGAAAAGUUUGUGACCUCGAUGUUGGACUAGGAUAUCCUGAUAGAUGUANAAGUCUUCAAUGGUUGGUCUGUUCGACCAGUAAUAUCCU